AUUGAACGCUGGCGGCAUGCUUUACACAUGCAAGUCGGACGGCAGCGGGGUAGUGCUUGCACUACUGCCGGCGAGUGGCGAACGGGUGAGUAAUAUAUUGGAACGUACCGAGUAAUGGGGGAUAACCAAUCGAAAGAUUGGCUAAUACCGCAUACGCUCUGAGGAGGAAAGCAGGGGACCUUCGGGCCUUGCGUUAUUCGAGCGGCCAAUAUCUGAUUAGCUAGUUGGUGGGGUAAGGGCCUACCAAGGCGACGAUCAGUAGCGGGUCUGAGAGGAUGAUCCGCCACACUGGGACUGAGACACGGCCCAGACUCCUACGGGAGGCAGCAGUGGGGAAUUUUGGACAAUGGGCGCAAGCCUGAUCCAGCCAUGCCGCGUGUCUGAAGAAGGCCUUCGGGUUGUAAAGGACUUUUGUUAGGGAAGAAAAAGGAGCGGUUAAGACCCGUUUCUGCUGACGGUACCUAAAGAAUAAGCACCGGCUAACUACGU
This 489-nucleotide ribosomal RNA is filed under the name uncultured bacterium. RNAcentral describes it as "partial 16S ribosomal RNA". It matches the Rfam family "Bacterial small subunit ribosomal RNA", at positions 30 to 506 of the family's 1533-position model. The record is from RNAcentral.